Molecule: non-coding RNA, 219 nt
Filed under: Sphingomonas sp.
Lineage: Bacteria; Pseudomonadati; Pseudomonadota; Alphaproteobacteria; Sphingomonadales; Sphingomonadaceae
Source: RNAcentral
GGCUCGCUAGAUCGCGUCGGUGCCCUUCGGGGCUUGAAGGGGAAUGCGGUGCGGAGGGUUCGCCAUCCAAUGCCGCAGCUGUCCCUGCAACUGUAAGCGGCGAGCGAAACGCACACGCCCUUCGCGACGAGGGGCAGCCACUGGGUCGACGACCUGGGAAGGUGUGGCGUGGAGCCGUGACCCGCGAGCCAGGAGACCUGCCGGCGUCUGGUCGCUCUC